CCCUUCCUACGGGGGGCAGCAGUGAGGAAUAUUGGUCAAUGGGCGGAAGCCUGAACCAGCCAAGUCGCGUGAGUGCCUCCGGCCCUCCGGGUCGUCCCCCUCUUUUUCCGGGGCUCCCGGGCCGGGCCGCGUCCCGGUCCGGAGCGUACCCGGCGAACCCGCCUCGGCUCCCUCCGUGCCCGCCGCCGCGGUCCUCCGGCGGCUGCGCGCGUUCUCCGGCUUUCUUGGGUUUCCCGGGUGCGUCGGCGGGCUUUUCCGUC
Molecule: ribosomal RNA, 260 nt
Filed under: uncultured bacterium
Lineage: Bacteria
Description: partial 16S ribosomal RNA
Rfam family: Bacterial small subunit ribosomal RNA
Source: RNAcentral